Molecule: ribosomal RNA, 440 nt
Filed under: uncultured bacterium
Lineage: Bacteria
Description: partial 16S ribosomal RNA
Rfam family: Bacterial small subunit ribosomal RNA
Source: RNAcentral
CCUACGGGAGGCAGCAGUGGGGGAUAUUGCACAAUGGGGGGAACCCUGAUGCAGCGACGCCGCGUGGGUGAAGAAGCGCCUCGGCGCGUAAAGCCCUGUCAGCAGGGAAGAAAAUGACGGUACCUGAAGAAGAAGCCCCGGCUAACUACGUGCCAGCAGCCGCGGUAAGACGUAGGGGGCGAGCGUUAUCCGGAGUUACUGGGUGUAAAGGGGGCGCAGACGGCGAUGCAAGCAAGGAGUUAAAGCCCGGGGCCCAACCCCGGUAGUGAUCGUGGCACUGCGUGGCGUGAGUGCAGGAGGGGCAGGCGGAAUUCCUGGUGUAGCGGUGAAAUGCGUAGAUAUCAGGAGGAACACCGGUGGCGAAGGCGGCCUGCUGGACUGCAACUGACGUUGAGGCCCGAAAGCGUGGGGAGCAAACAGGAUUAGAUACCCCAGUAGUC